Molecule: ribosomal RNA, 255 nt
Filed under: uncultured bacterium
Lineage: Bacteria
Description: partial 16S ribosomal RNA
Rfam family: Bacterial small subunit ribosomal RNA
Source: RNAcentral
UACGUAGGGUGCAAGCGUUUGUCCGGAAUUAUUGGGCGUAAAGGGCUCGUAGGCGGUUUGUCGCGUCGGGAGUGAAAUCCACUGGCUUAACUGGUGGCUUGCUUUCGAUACGGGCAGACUGGAGGUAUGCAGGGGGAGAACGGAAUUCCUGGUGUAGCGGUGAAAUGCGCAGAUAUCAGGAGGAACACCGGUGGCGAAGGCGGAUCUCUGGGCCAUUACUGACGCUGAGGAGCGAAAGCGUGGGGAGCGAACAGG